Molecule: unclassified non-coding RNA, 215 nt
Filed under: Hevea brasiliensis (rubber tree)
Lineage: Eukaryota; Viridiplantae; Streptophyta; Magnoliopsida; Malpighiales; Euphorbiaceae
Source: RNAcentral
CCUAUUUGCUCUCUCUCCCACACUCGUCCACGACAUCGUAUGCUAAUCCCUAGCCACCCACUGCUUAAACCCCAAUUCGCAACCGCGCACAGCUACUGUGAGGACAGACGGACGGACAGACCACCUCUUAAACCCUUGUCCCUUAUUUCUUCUCUAAAUCGUUAAAUUUUCCGUUUGCUAGCCGUGAUGGAAGCAGAUGAAGAAAAUUCAGAGCC